This 420-nucleotide ribosomal RNA is filed under the name uncultured eukaryote. RNAcentral describes it as "SSU rRNA". It matches the Rfam family "Eukaryotic small subunit ribosomal RNA", at positions 592 to 1018 of the family's 1831-position model. The record is from RNAcentral.
CAAUAGCGUAUAUUAAAGAUGUUGCAGUUAAAAGCUCGUAGUUGGAUCUCAGGUUUAGGCUGGCGGUCCGCCUCGCGGCGGUUACUGCCUGUCCUUACCUACUUGUCGGUUUUCCCUUGGUGCUCUUGACUGAGUGUCUCGGGUGGCCGGAACGUUUACUUUGAAAAAUUAGAGUGCUCAAAGCAGGCGUCUCGCCUGAAUAAUGGUGCAUGGAAUAAUGGAAUAGGACCUCGGUUCUAUUUUGUUGGUUUUCGGAGCUCGAGGUAAUGAUUAACAGGGACUGACGGGGGCAUUCGUAUUACGGUGUUAGAGGUGAAAUUCUUGGAUCGCCGUAAGACGAGCGACUGCGAAAGCAUUUGCCAAGGAUGUUUUCAUUGAUCAAGAACAAAAGUUAGGGGAUCGAAGAUGAUUAGAUACCGU